AUGCAAGGUGGCGCUGUGGAGCUUUCACCUAAGAACAUGUUUCCCAAAGCUGAAAUCGUUCAGGGCUCCAACAGGACUCCGCCCCAUGCACCCGUAUCUCUCACUCUCUGCUCACCGCCAAUCUAUCACACGGGGCAACUUGUGAUCUCAUGGAUGGCUGUGGUCUCUCUCUCUUCUAGGCCUUUACAUGGCUUGUGGCCUCUGCUGGGGAUGCUAUGGCCGCCUUUUCCCACUUGUCAAGACCCUUGUCACCACGAUCUUACAUGGGUGUUUUCCCCGAGGAGUCCAGCACCACUUCCUCUGAGCUCAACAGUGCUUCUUGUGGGAUACCGCAGCUGUUUGCUGGAGGCCACACCAUCCAUCCAUUCAACAAAUCCAGAAGAUCACCUACCUUCCUAGAGGUAUCAGGCGGGCAGGCGCAGCUGACGUUUGCACGAGAAAGGUUGUUUUAAAACAGAUACUGAUGCACUGAUCGACACACUAAUAACUCCCACUGGUCCAGUGUCUUCAGCCGUGAGACAGGAAAACAUGUCCAUCAUUUAGAACCGACCCUGGUCCAAGGUAGGGACUCUAUCAAUUCUAGUUGUUGUGAUGAUUUCUGUUAUUAAGAAGUUAAUUGGAAAAAAAACAGUAUGUGGC
This 639-nucleotide long non-coding RNA is filed under the name Chinchilla lanigera (long-tailed chinchilla). RNAcentral's name for it is "lncRNA (ENSCLAG00000023853.1)". Lineage: Eukaryota; Metazoa; Chordata; Mammalia; Rodentia; Chinchillidae. The record is from RNAcentral.